Psammomys obesus (fat sand rat) is the source of this 119-nucleotide small nucleolar RNA. RefSeq annotates it as small nucleolar RNA SNORA26. Lineage: Eukaryota; Metazoa; Chordata; Mammalia; Rodentia; Muridae. The record is from RefSeq and is a predicted model, not a curated record. The transcript has a single exon.
UCCCCUUCAAGGUCAUGGUAGGGACUGAAGAGGCUAACACAGCCAGGUGAAGGAGCUCUCCAAAAACCCAGAAAGGAGACUGUACACCUCCUCUUUGGAUCCUGUCUGGAGUCAUAGAU